RNAcentral lists this non-coding RNA (283 nucleotides) under Ipomoea nil (Japanese morning glory). RNAcentral describes it as "Eukaryotic large subunit ribosomal RNA". It matches the Rfam family "Eukaryotic large subunit ribosomal RNA", at positions 3110 to 3401 of the family's 3401-position model. Lineage: Eukaryota; Viridiplantae; Streptophyta; Magnoliopsida; Solanales; Convolvulaceae. The record is from Rfam by way of RNAcentral.
UGGAUUAUGACUGAACGCCUCUAAGUCAGAAUCCGGGCUAGACCGACGCAUGCGCUCGUCGCCCGUUUGCCGACCCGCAGUAGGGGCCAUUUGGCCCCAAGGGCACGUGUCGUUGGCUAAGCGUCGUGGCGAAGGGUCACGGUGGCGCCUUGAAUUACAAUUCGAUCGAGCGGCGAGCUGAAUCCUUUGCAGACGACUUAAAUACGCGACGGGGUAUUGUAAGGGUAGAGUGGCCUUGCUGCCACGAUCCUCUGAGAUUCAGCCCUUUGUCGCUCCGAUUCGU